GACGAACGCUGGCGGCGUGCUUAACACAUGCAAGUCGAACGGAAACGCCCUGCUUUUGUGGGGUUCUCGAGUGGCGAACGGGUGAGUAACACGUGAGUACCCUUCCCGUGACUUUGGGAUAACUUCCGGAAACUGGGGCUAAUACCCGAUAGGAGCUCCUGCUGCAUGGUGGGGGUUGGAAAGCUUCGGCGGUUGGGGAUGGACGGGCGGCUUAUCCGCUUGUUGGUGGGGUAGUGGCUUACCAAGGCUGUGAAGGGUAGCCUGCCUGAGAGGGUGACCAGGCACAAUGGGCCUGAGAUACGGCCCAGACUGCAACGGGAGGCAGCAGGGGGGAAUAUUGCACAACGGGCGGAAGCCUGAUGCAGCAACGCCGGGUGCGGGAUGACGGCUUUCGGGGUAUAAACCGCUUUCGCCUGAGACGAAGCGUGGGUGACGGUAAUGGGUAAAGAAGCACCGGCUAACUACGUG
This 468-nucleotide ribosomal RNA is filed under the name uncultured bacterium. RNAcentral describes it as "partial 16S ribosomal RNA". It matches the Rfam family "Bacterial small subunit ribosomal RNA", at positions 28 to 507 of the family's 1533-position model. The record is from RNAcentral.